RNAcentral lists this ribosomal RNA (653 nucleotides) under uncultured bacterium. RNAcentral describes it as "bacterial SSU rRNA". It matches the Rfam family "Bacterial small subunit ribosomal RNA", at positions 68 to 708 of the family's 1533-position model. The record is from RNAcentral.
GGUAACAGAAGAGCUUGCUCUUGCCGACGAGUGGCGGACGGGUGAGUAACGUAUGGGGAUCUGCCGAAUGGAGGGGGACAACAGUUGGAAACGACUGCUAAUACCGCAUAAUGUCGCGAGACCAAAGCAUGGGACCUUAGGGCCAUGCGCCAUUUGAUGAACCCAUAUGGGAUUAGCUAGUAGGUGAGGUAAUGGCUCACCUAGGCGACGAUCUCUAGCUAGUCUGAGAGGAUGACCAGCCACACUGGGACUGAGACACGGCCCAGACUCCUACGGGAGGCAGCAGUGGGGAAUAUUGCACAAUGGGGGAAACCCUGAUGCAGCCAUGCCGCGUGUAUGAAGAGGGCCUUCGGGUUGUAAAGUACUUUCGGUAGCGAGGAAGGGGUUAUAUCUAAUAGGUGUAACCAUUGACGUUAACUACAGAAGAAGCACUCGGCUAACUCUCGUGCCAGCAGCCGCGGUAAUACGGAGGGUGCGAGCGUUAAUCGGAAUGACUGGGCGUAAAGGGCAUGUCGCCGAUAGUGUAAGUUACGUGUGAAAGCCCCUGGCUCAAGCUGGGAAAUGCAUUUAAAACUGGGUAUCUCGAGUAUAUGUACAGGAAAGGUAUAAAUUCUCUAGUGUAUCGGUGAAAUGCGUAUAGAUGUGGAGGAAUA